Molecule: long non-coding RNA, 2071 nt
Organism: Brassica napus (rape)
Lineage: Eukaryota; Viridiplantae; Streptophyta; Magnoliopsida; Brassicales; Brassicaceae
Exons: 2
Source: RefSeq, a predicted model, not a curated record
UCAAAAUUGUGUACAGUAACAGACCAUAUUUAUGAGAUUAAUAUUCUUAUAUAAUGACGCAAUCAUUAAUAUUUUAUCUGCACUAAUCGUUUUGUAACUAUUUUACUCGUAAACAUAGAAACCCACAAAUUUUAUGCUUUAUGUGUAAAAGAGUCGCAAAACGAUUAAGGCUUAAGGAAAAUUAUGCAAUUAAUCAAAUUAAGAUUCAUGAAAAAAUACAUAAAAUUUAGUCCGAGUUUGGAUCGACUUAUCACUAUAGAAACAAUCUUAAUUUAAAGUUAGGGCCAUUCCAGCGACGUGGUGGCUUAGUUCGAGGUUCAAGAUUCAAGAAAGAAUGCAUAGAAAUUAUCAGCAUAGAUCCAUAUAUGCAUUAGAGAUAGAGAAUACUCGUUAACAAUUGUUCCGAUGUGUUCGCCAGCAUGAACACGAAUAUUUUUCUAUGGUUACGCUAUAAAACCAUAGAAAAUUAUUUGUUGCAUGGUAUUAGAUUUUUUUAAAAUCGAAUGUGAAUAGUAUUAGAUUGUUUUUUAUUAAACGAGAACAAGGUUACUGAACGUGAAGGAAAAGACAAUAUUGGUUACAGAGAAUUAGAAAUAAGUUUACAUGUGCAAAAUAAAUGUUUUAAAUUAUAUAAAGGUUAUGGGUUAAAAGCCUGUAGUCCCUACCAAAAUUAAUAUUAGUUUAUCCCUAACAUCCGUCAGUUCUUCUAAGUUUUGAUUUUGAUAUAUGUUUUUUUUUUUUGUAACUGAUUUUGAUAUAUGUUAACUGAGCGAAUGACACUUCACCAAAAUAGAUGUUUUAACGUUCUUUUCUUUUUUGAUAAUUGGUUUUCAUAGAUGUUUUAACCUUAUAUUAUAAUAUAAACCAUGGCACUGAUAAGAGUAGUAACUCUAUAUUAUAUAAUCAUAUAACAUUCUUUUCAUUGGUACCUCAUUCCAUCUUUGCCGCAUGAUCCAUUAAAAAGUUUUCUUCAAUAGGAAAUUGUUUUUGGAGCAUUCAGAGAAAACAGAAACAAGGACUGGAAAUGAUUUAAAUAUAUAAGAAUGACGAAUAUCCUUUUUCAUUUUUUUUUUGUAGGUUGAUCCGAAAAGCUUCACAAUUUUUCAAUUUUGUCAAAAAUCAUGAUCUGUUUUUAUGUUUUGUAUACAUCUAGUUAGGUUAGUCGUAGUAUAUUACCAUGAACUCAUUUAAAUAUUACAAGAUAUCUUAUCCAAAAAAAAGAAUAAAAGAGAACUUAAUAUAUAUAUAUAUACAUAAAAUAUGUGUAUUUACGUGUUAUGACUUUUUAGUUGCUAAAGAACGUGUUGUGACUUGUGACUUUACAAUGAAUUUUGUUUGUCAAGUAUGUGAAUUUAUUUCCAAAGAAAUAGCAAAGAGAUAUAAGAAGUUUUAGAUCUAAAGCUAUUAAAAAGCAAAAUUCUACUUAAGAAUCUCCGAAGAAAAGAAGAAGAUAAAAAGGCUCUUAAAUACAAGAUUAGUUCUAAUGUAGUUGUAGUAGAAAGGAUUAAACCUGCAGAGGCAAAUAUUCAAAGGAUCGAAGGAAGUUGGAAAGAUCCCGAAAGAUACUUGAAUGGACGAUAGCCGGAGGCAAAGGCGGUUGGCUUCCCGGCCCCCGGCCAUCGGAAGGUCAAGGUACACCUAAACCAAACAAUCCACAAGUGAUGGAGGGAGGUGACUGUAGAUCCUUGACAACGGUGAGAAGAGCUCACGAUGAGGAAGAGAGACUCUGGAGAAUGCAAGUUAAUCUCCCAGCAGCGGAGAGAAGAGCUCACGAUGAGGAAGAGAGACUUUAUAAUGAUACAAGUUGUGUUUGUGUCAUUCUAUAUACAAGCACAUAUAUAAACACAUAAUUUUCAUAUAAACAUAUCAACACCUGCCCCGUGGGAACUACCCGCCCCGUAGGAACUACCCGUCCCGUGGGUCUCAGGCUGGCUCUGCAGGACACCGACCCUAACCUUUCACAUGUCUAUAUGUAUGCACAUUUUUUUAUGCUCCUCACAAGAUGAUGGUGAGAAGCCGAGACCAGGUGUUUUAUUCUCUAAUCCGUUUCCGGUUCCCGAUCAUAGCAAAG